Bombus huntii is the source of this 925-nucleotide long non-coding RNA. RefSeq lists it as uncharacterized. NCBI's taxonomy places the organism in Eukaryota, Metazoa, Arthropoda, Insecta, Hymenoptera, Apidae. The transcript has 3 exons. The record is from RefSeq and is a predicted model, not a curated record.
UAACGAACAUGCGAUAUAUCAGUGUGAAAUAAGUUUUAUAUAAAAUGUAUUGUUCUGUAUUCUCUAAAGAUUGUACGAGUAUUUUAUACAAGUGAAAGUUUACUGUUUAGUUCUAACUAGGGGUAAAUAUGUAAUUUAUAAUAAUUUGAGCAACAAUUAAGCAAAUGCAACAUUGAACAGAUUUCCAUGAGAUAAAGCAUCGUGAUUACCAUUAUAAGUAGUGGGUCAAACUAAUAAGUCUCCAGAGACUAAUAGGAAGGAUAGAAACUGAGCAAUAGCAGUUUUAUGUGUUCUGCUCAUUUCCCUAAAAACAGUUUUGCAAUCUACCACAAUAAUAUGAAACGUGAUUCUUUUCAGAUAAUAAUGAACAUGUUUCUGCGUCAUCUUCAACAAUAGAAAAAAUUCCCUAACCUGAAUAUUUUGCUAUAAAAUGCAAUGACUCCCCUAUAAAUAUCAAGGAAAUACUUGAUAAGUAUUGGUUCCCAUAUAAUAUACCAAAGAGUACACAUCCAAGGAAGAAGUAACAAUCCAAAACUACGUAUGAGAUAAUUUUCCAUGCCCAUAACAAUAAGAACACUCCACAACAUACAAAAAAGAGUUUAACCAAUCUCAAAAGAAAACUACUCUCAACAACAAAAGAAAAUAAGACAUUAAAACAAUGAGUUGGAUACUUGAAAGCAAGUAGAGUUUUUAAAGGAUAUAGUGAAAGACCUAAAACAAGAAAAACUUUUACCCGAUUCUGCAUGCUAUUAUCUUUCCAUGCAUGAAUAUGCUUCAUUACAAUUGUUCAACUGCAUGUAGAGAAACAGAAACAAUAGUAACUACAGCUGACUUAGAACUAUGUCGAUUCCUAAGAGAAGAGUGCAAAUAAAAUUGUAUCAAAAUUAAGGUUAGCUAUGUAUAUAUAAAUUUUAUUAUUUCAUUA